AGCAGCCGCGGUAAUUCCAGCUCCAAUAGCGUAUAUUAAAGUUGUUGCAGUUAAAAGCUCGUAGUUGAAUUUCGGGAUCAAUAUGUUGGUCGUGCCUCGGUACGUACUAGCAUAUUGGUUUCUCCUUUCUGAAGAACCAUGAUGUCAUUUAUUUGGUGUCGUGGGGAAUCAGGACUGUUACUUUGAAAAAUUAGAGUGUUUAAAGCAGGCUCACGCUUGAAUACAUUAGCAUGGAAUAAUGAAAUAGGACGUUUGAUUCUAUUUUGUUGGUUUCUAGGAUCGACGUAAUGAUUAAUAGGGAUAGUUGGGGGCAUUAGUAUUCAAUUGUCAGAGGUGAAAUUCUUGGAUUUAUUGAAGACUAACUACUGCGAAAGCAUUUGCCAAGGAUGUUUUCAUUAAUCAAGAACGAAAGUUAGGGGAUCGAAGACGAUCAGAUACCGUCGUAGUCUUAACCAUAAACUAUGCCGACUAGGGAUCGGAUGAUGUUAAUUUUUUAAUUGA
This 501-nucleotide unclassified non-coding RNA is filed under the name uncultured Glomus. Its description in RNAcentral is "SSU rRNA". It matches the Rfam family "Eukaryotic small subunit ribosomal RNA", at positions 569 to 1078 of the family's 1831-position model. The record is from RNAcentral. Lineage: Eukaryota; Fungi; Glomeromycota; Glomeromycetes; Glomerales; Glomeraceae.